Molecule: long non-coding RNA, 2003 nt
Organism: Tarenaya hassleriana
Lineage: Eukaryota; Viridiplantae; Streptophyta; Magnoliopsida; Brassicales; Cleomaceae
Exons: 2
Source: RefSeq, a predicted model, not a curated record
CCUAUCGGCGGAAGAGGACGAAGAGUAUGUAUGAUCCCCAACAUUUCCUAGAUUUGCAAGGCGAUUCGGGAGUCGGAGACUCGGACUCCAGGCUCUCCAGCGGCCUCACCAGUCCUCCGCCGCCACCAGCUCCGGAAAUGGGAACCUCGAUCGCCGUCUCUUCAAUGACCUUGUCGAGAUGGUGCCUCUCAUUACAUCGUAAUCUCUCUCUCUCUCUUUCUCGGACGUUUUCUUGAGCUCUGAGCGACGGGGAAGGCGAGAAAGUUGAAGAUGCAGUGAGAAAUUUAUACACGGGUUAUUGAUGUUCCCAUACCGGUUCGGAUCAGGAAACCGAAACCGAGAUUCACCGAUUAAAAUAAAUCGCAAGCCACCUUGAAUAAAUCAAAGAUGACCCAGUCUUCCCUCUCUUGUAGGAACUGAUACCCACUUCUGUUAUGUUUCCUUGUCUGUAGCAUCACUUCUUUAUGUAUUUAAAGACCAAAAAUGUCACAUUUUUGGCAUUUUUGGAUGUGAGAUUCCUGGGAAAUUAAGUAUUUAGAUUCCCUUCUCAGAUGGAUUUUGAUGAUUUUCAACAGAAAGAAAGAAUGGUGAGUUUGCUAACUUCUCUUGCGCUUUGAUCUACUCUCUCUCCGAUGUCAUUAUGUACAAGACUUAGUUAAAGAGCUUUUGUUAUCUGGUCUCUUUUCCUUUUUGGGUUAUAAAUAUUUAGCUUUAAAUAGAUGUGAGUGUUAAGGUAUGUCUGGUAAAAGAUGUCAGGAUGAAUAGUUUCUGUGUUCAUGCCUUGUGUCCAAGUUUUUGAACUUUGGUUUCCAUCUUCAAUCCUUCCUCACCAAAUGUUGAUGGUUCUUUCAUUUUGGAUGAACUUCUGGGUUACCCUCUUUUACAAAUGCUUGGAAGUCUCAUUUGUAUUGGAAGGUCCCUGAUCCGAGGGGGCUGAGUGCUUCUCAAUCGAUCCCAGGAAGAAAGAGAAGAGACCCUGAAGGCAAAAACUGAUGCUAAGAGUGAAAAUAAAGAGCAAGACGACGGAAGUGUGAGGGCUUGGACUACUACUGAAAGGGAAGAAAUGAAGUUAAUGGAACUGUCAAAGAAUCAAGUGAACGAGACUCAUACAAAGCUUGAAGAGAUGAAGCGUUUGGUCCGGGAGAAGGGGUCUUUCGUUAAGUCUGUGCAGUCACAAUUAUCUGACACAAAAGGUAACCUCUUCUCUUAUGCUUCUUUGUAGUUUUUCAUUUGUGUUUCACACUCUUUUGUAUGACCCGUUGGGUACGAAGAUGGAGAAAUUUUGUUGCUUUAGGUGUUGAUACUUUUUUGGAUUCUUGAAAUUCUCUGUCGGUUACCGGUGGGCUGCCCUCUAUAUCAAGAACGGUUAAUGUCCCAAGCCAAACUCGUGUCGGAAUUUUUCUUUUUCUCUCGAUUUCUAGCUGUUCGUCAAUUUGUCCUUGUUUGCACUUGAUCAAACUUGCUUCCAAGCAAGUGGCCCUUGAGAAGACAAUGGGAAGCAAAGACGUCAGGCACAGAAGCAACUGAGCUUCAAGAACAGCUACAUGUUGUGAAGGAGAGGUCUCCUCAUUCAUGAGGUUAUUGGAAGCCUUGGCAAAAACUGAUUCCAAGAAAUAUGAUGGAGAUUAUGAUGUGACACCAUAUGAAUCCGACCGUCUUCCUUAUUAUGAAAACGACCUCAGGGAAAUGGAAGAAGCAAGGCAUUGCAGCUGUUGCUACCGCAGUGGAAAACAAGAUGAAGAAUCUCUGGCCGCCGCUGCAAAGGCGAGAGAAUUCUUGCAGUCACUAGCCGUUAGGUACUAAUCUCUAGGAAUUUACCACUCUUUGUUUGUUUGUUUGUCUGUUUGCUUUAGGAUGUAUGCUAAAACUCAGAAUGGAUAUAUAGAUAUGUCCCUGAAAUUGAGUUGUUUGGUUUCAUUUCCGGGUUCUCGAGUUUUUCUGCAUAAGAAGUCGGGAAAUGUAAAAUCGGAUUUGUAUAAAUGAAAAGUCGCUUUUAAGAGUUU